RNAcentral lists this ribosomal RNA (920 nucleotides) under uncultured marine bacterium. RNAcentral describes it as "bacterial SSU rRNA". It matches the Rfam family "Bacterial small subunit ribosomal RNA", at positions 60 to 1023 of the family's 1533-position model. The record is from RNAcentral.
AGUCGAACGCAGUAGCAAUACUGAGUGGCAGACGGGUGAGUAUAAUGUGGGAAUCUGCCUUUUGGUUUGGAAUAACUCGGGGAAACUUGAGCUAAUACCAAAUAAGCCCUUACGGGGAAAGCUUUAUGCGCCGAAGGAUGAGCCCGCACUUGAUUAGCUCGUUGGUGAGGUAAUGGCUCACCAAGGCAACAAUCAAUAGCUGUUCUUAGAGGAAGACCAGCCACAUUGGGACUGAGACACGGCCCAGACUCCUACGGGAGGCAGCAGUAAGGAAUCUUGCACAAUGGGGGAAACCCUGAUGCAGCGAUGCCGCGUGAGUGAAGAAGGCCUUUGGGUUGUAAAACUCUUUCGUUGGGGAAGAAAAUGACUGUACCCAAAUAAGAAGGUCCGGCUAACUUCGUGCCAGCAGCCGCGGUAAUACGAAGGGACCUAGCGUAGUUCGGAAUUACUGGGCUUAAAGAGCUCGUAGGUGGUUAAAAAAGUUGAUGGUGAAAUCCCAAGGCUCAACCUUGGAACUGCCAUCAAAACUGUUUAGCUAGAGUAUGAUAGAGGAAAGUGGAAUUUCUAGUGUAGAGGUGAAAUUCGUAGAUAUUAGAAAGAACACCAAAAGCGAAGGCAACUUUCUGGAUCAUUACUGACACUGAGGAGCGAAAGCAUGGGUAGCGAAGAGGAUUAGAUACCCUCGUAGUCCAUGCUGUAAACGAUGUGUGCUAGACGUUGGAAAUUUAAUUUUCAGUGUCGCAGCAAAAGCGUUAAGCACACCGCCUGGGGAGUACGACCGCAAGGUUAAAACUCAAAUGAAUUGACGGGGACCCGCACAAGCAGUGGAGCAUGUGGUUUAAUUCGAAGAUACGCGCAGAACCUUACCAACACUUGACAUGUUCGUCGCGAGACCAAGAGAUUGGUUUCUUCAUUUAGUU